Molecule: ribosomal RNA, 780 nt
Filed under: uncultured bacterium
Lineage: Bacteria
Description: bacterial SSU rRNA
Rfam family: Bacterial small subunit ribosomal RNA
Source: RNAcentral
UGCAUGCAGUCGAACGAGGAACCCGCCCUGGGUAACCAGGGUGGAAUUCUUAGUGGCGAACGGGUGAGUAACACGUGAGAAACCUGCCCCGGAGACCGGGAUAGCCCAGGGAAACCUGGAUUAAUACCGGAUACCCUCCAACGAUCGCAUGGUCGGUGGAGGAAAGGGUCCGCCGCUCCGGGAUGGUCUCGCGACCUAUCAGCUGGUUGGUGAGGUAAGGGCUCACCAAGGCAAUGACGGGUAGCUGGUCUGAGAGGACGAUCAGCCACACUGGGACUGAGACACGGCCCAGACUCCUACGGGAGGCAGCAGCAGGGAAUUUUGCACAAUGGGCGCAAGCCUGAUGCAGCGACGCCGCGUGGGGGAUGAAUGCCUUCGGGUUGUAAACCCCUUUCAGGAGGGACGAAGCGAAAGUGACGGUACCUCCAGAAGAAGCCCCGGCCAACUACGUGCCAGCAGCCGCGGUAAUACGUAGGGGGCGAGCGUUGUCCGGAUUUAUUGGGCGUAAAGAGCUCGUAGGCGGCUCAGCAAGUCGGCCGUGAAAGCCUGAGGCUCAACCUCAGGACGCCGGUCGAAACUGCUGUGGCUAGGGUCCGGUAGAGGAGAGUGGAAUUCCCGGUGUAGCGGUGAAAUGCGCAGAUAUCGGGAGGAACACCAGUAGCGAAGGCGGCUCUCUGGGCCGGUACCGACGCUGAGGAGCGAAAGCUAGGGGAGCAAACAGGAUUAGAUACCCUGGUAGUCCUAGCCGUAAACGUUGGGCACUAGGUGUGGCGGAUUCAU